Long non-coding RNA from Lycium ferocissimum, 3873 nucleotides. RefSeq lists it as uncharacterized. The transcript has 4 exons. NCBI's taxonomy places the organism in Eukaryota, Viridiplantae, Streptophyta, Magnoliopsida, Solanales, Solanaceae. The record is from RefSeq and is a predicted model, not a curated record.
GAUGGGCCGGGUGGGCUCCGAAGAGAGGGAGGGGUAGGCCAAAGAAGGCCUGGGGAGAGGUGAUUCGGCAGGACAUGGCAUUACUCCAGCUUACCGAGGACAUGACCGGUGAUAGGAGGGGGUGGAGGUCGAGUAUCAGGGUAGAGGGCUAGUGGGGGGCCGCGAGGUUUCCUUUCUCGUAUUAGGAGUAUUUUUAUCCUGCUUCUAUGUGUUGGUCUUGUCUAUCUUUGUUAUUUUAUCAUGACUUCGUUGCUCUUGCUAUUUCUCAUUUUCACAUGGUUUUGAUUUGCUUGUCCGUAUCUGACUCUUUUCCCUUGUUUCCCUUGUUUUCCUUGUUUUCUUUUGAGCCGAGGGUCUUUCGGAAACAGCCUCCCUACCUUCCAAGGUGGGGGUAAGGUCUGCGUACACUUUACCCUCCCCAGACCUCACGUUGUGGGAUCCAACUGGGUAUGUUGUUGUUGUUGUUAUCCUUUAAUGCUUUUGAACGAAGGUCGCCUUCAUGAGUGCAUUCCAUUUUAUCUUUGAAGUAAUUCUAUGAAAAGCACAACCUGCUCAUUCUCCUCCGGGAAUAACUAGUCACUGAGUGCACUUAAAUAGAUGCAGAUAAAAAAAUAUCAUUUGGUGAAUUGGGAGAAAGUUAUAGCUAAAAUUAGGAUGGAGUGGGUAUCAAGGACUAAUGAUGUUUUACCGAGCCCUCUUUAAAAAAUGCCUAUGGAGGUUUGCAACUGAGGAGAACAUUUGGUGGAAAGAAGUGAUAAAACUGAAAGUAUGAGGUUAGACAAUGUAAAUGGUUCUCAGAUGAGGUGACUUAGACGUUAGACCCUAUGUUUUCCGCUUAAUGGCAAUUAGAAUCUGAAUGGUUCUGCUUUCAAAUUCGAUAUUUAUUCUUUUCAACCACUUAUCUGCUCUUAAUAGGUAUGAAUUUUCAGCUCGUGUACAGAGUCUAAAUUUUUAAGACGAUAUUCCCCUAAAAGUUCCUAUGAAGGUGACCUUUUAUCACCACUUGUCUACUACCACCACACAAAAUCAAUCAUCACUUUCCCCCCUAGCCACCAUCUCACAGCUGUCACCACCCGCCAUUACUGUACUGCCACGACCAUCACCACCAGCCAUAACUACACAAUCAUCAGCCCGGGGCACCUCCACCAGCCACUACAACCAUCACGCCAACCACUAUCAACGCUAACUAGUACUGUCCCUAGCUUUUAGAGCAUGCUUCAUCAAACAAAAACUUUUAAAUUAUCAUGUAAGCUAAAAUUUUCUCUAAUAUUUUGUGGAUAUAAUGUUUAAUUGUUAUUUUUUUAAACUUAAUUUAUUAUUAUUUUAGAUAAAGACAAAAUUAUACACAUUCAGGUGAUGAUAGAACAAUCUUUUUUUCUUUUUGAUAACCGUGUUGUCCGGGUCAGCUUGCGCGCACCUCGACUAAUCCCACGGGAUAUUUGCCACCUCCCACCACCAACAAGUAUCAGGUAACUCUAUCCACCAAGGCUAGAACAGAUGGGAAGAAAUCACCUAGUAUUCUAUCUCUGCUGGGAAGUGAACGUGAAACCUCAUGGUGCUCAACCCACUUCAUUGACCACUAGGCCACAGCCUUGGGUGUGAUGAUACAACUAUCUUAAUCAUUCAAUAUUCAGAUUUAGUGAUACUAUCUUAAUAAUCUUAUAUCUACUGAGAUUCAGAUAUCUUAAUCUUAAAUUUACAAAUGAGUUGAUCAUAUGGGACAAGCUUAUGCAAAGUGAUUAUGAAGGGGAUGCAGGAUUUCACAAGAUUUAUGGUCUUCUCAAUUGGGAAUGGGAACCAAAUUUGGUUUAAGUUCGAUGUGGUGUGGAGAUACUGGUAAAGAUGAAUUUAAUUUCCCGUUACAGAAACAAGACAGCGGUAGGAAGGACGAAGAGAAUUUCAGAAAAUAUACAUCGGAUAGGGAAAUUGAUGUGGUGGAGAGAUUACUGCACAAGCUAUGCAGUUUUGUAUAGUUCGGAGGGGACAAUAAGAUAGUGUGGGAGGGUUCUUUAUUAGCAGUCAUACUCAUGUCUGAUGAAGGUGUUACAAGAUUGGACACCAAUAACUACAACUGUCUCAAUCCCAAGAUAGUUUAGGUCGGCUAUAAGAAUUCUCAGCACCAAUCUGUGAAUUCAAGACAAUGUCAUUUCUAGUCAUUAUCCAUUUGGAUACCAAUAUGGAAAAUGCAUCCAGCCAAGAGAGUGGCAUUUUUUUACAUGGUGUGCAAUACCGGGAGCACUCUCGCUUUUGGCAUAGCGGGCCCCUAGUGAGAGGAUCGCACGAUGGGCUAUUAGCUCAGUGGUAGAGCGCGCUCCUGAAUUACAACUCUAUUGUACAGCAAUUGGGGCAUUGGUCUUUGCAGCGUUAAUGCUUUUUGCUGGUUGGUUUCAUUAUCAUAAAGCGGCGCCAAAAUUGGCUUGGUUUCAAGAUGUAGAAUCUAUGCUGAAUCACCAUUUAGCAGGGCUACUAGGACUUGGGUCUCUCUCUUGGGCGGGGCAUCAAGUACAUGUAUCUUUACCGAUUAACCAAUUUCUAAAAAAAGAUUCUUUCCUUUAUCUUAUCUGCUAUCUCAUGUAGUAAUUAUCUUUUUCAAUUGGGAGAGAUGGCUGAGCGGACUAAAGCAGCGGAUGCAACUGCAAACACUAAAAAAAUUAAGGAGAAGGAGAUGCAUAGUGGUCAGUUGGUGUGCAUCAGUAAAAAUCACGACAAACAAGCAAGCAUUUGCAUUAGCUAAGCUUAGCAACCAUUGCAUGACGACAGUGAUCAAGCUAUUGCCUUUCUUACAGAAAGAUGUCUUGGAUUACCAAUCUCUCUCGUUAAGUCCUCUGCAAUCAGUCUUUGUUUGGUUCUGUAUCUCUUCACCGUAUCACGACAGUGGUCACCUUUUCGUUUUCAGUUAUCUCCUUAAACAUUCUUAAUGUUCUCUGAGGAUAGCAUAAAAUUAUUACUCACAUGUUACUAAUAUAGUGCUCCUAAAUUUUUUUCCCUUCACAGAGAAGGUAAUCUACCAUGACUAGAAGUUUGAUGGUGAUAUCAUUCCACUUCAGAAUGUUUCUGUUGGCAUGUUAACUAGAUUUCAACUCUAUAAGUGUAUGCAAUUUUAUCUUUGAAGUAAUUCUCUGGAAAGACUCAUUCUCCUUCAGUAGACCUGCGAGUAUGGGCUUAUCUGGAAUUUUCAUGCACCCAAAUAGAUGAAGAUAAAAAAUAUCAUUUGGUGAGUUGGGAGAAAGUUACAGCUAAAAUUAGGAUGGAGUGGGUAUCAAAGACUAAUGAUGUUUUACCGAGCCCUCUUGAAAAAAUUCCUGAGGUUUGCAACUGAGGAGAACAUUUGGUUGAAAGAAGUGAUACAAGUGAAGGUAUGAGGUCAGACAAUGUAAAUGGUUCUCAGAUGAGGUGACUUAAACACUGUUUUUUCCGCUUAAUGGAAGGUAGAAUCUGAAUGGUUCCACUAUCAAAUUCGAUUUUUAUUCCUUUCAACCACUUAUUUGCUCUUAAUAGGUAUGAGUUUUCAGCUCGUGUACAGAGUCUUAAAUUUUUUAAAAUGAUAUUCACCUAAAAAUUCCUAUGAAGGUGACCUUCUAUCACCACUUUGUCUACUACCACCACACAACAUCAAUCACUACUUUCGCCGCUGGUCACCAUCGUACAGCUGUCACCACCAGCCAUCACUGUACUACCACUACCACCACCACCAGCCAUAACUAAACAAUCAUCAGCCCCGGGCACCUCCACCAGCCACCACAGCACAACCAUCGCGCCAACCACUAUGUUCGCCAGCUGCUGCUGUCCCUACCUUUUAGAGCAUGCUUCAUCAAACAAAAACUUUAAAUUACCAUGUAAACUAAAAUUUUCUCUAAUAUCUUGUGGAUAUAA